UCUAUGUAUCCUUGAAAACAUAUCAAUUCC
Molecule: non-coding RNA, 30 nt
Filed under: Mus musculus (house mouse)
Lineage: Eukaryota; Metazoa; Chordata; Mammalia; Rodentia; Muridae
Also listed under: 1 other name
Source: RNAcentral